AGGGUCAUUCCACAGUAUUCCGUCUGUUGCGGAGGGGAAAUUUAGAGGUCAACUCGAUAUAAAGUUAAACAAAAUACCAAAACCAGCCAAGAAUGCCCGCAGGUGUGGCCUUUUAUCAACUUCCUGGAGAGGGAGAUCAUUAUAAACGGAACGUAGAGACUGUGUCCUUGUUUGAUCUCAAGCGAACGAAUGGUUGGUGGCCUGCAGUAGGAACGGACGAUGGACAACAAAUACUGGCGGUGAGUCACUCGAUAUGUAACGUAUAUUUGCAUACAUCACUGGGUUUAAUUGCUGGAAGUCACCUUUCACUUAACAAUCUGUCUGAUAUGUGAACAUAGGCGUACGGGCCCUUUCGGACUUGGGGGGGAGAGGGGGGGACCGUGACCAUCUUGCCCGAAAAAUUUACGCAAUUCCGGAAUGCGUGAUUGUUGAAAUAGGCAUGCAAACGCACUCAAAUUGCAUGAAAAACAAAAUCGCUCACAAUUCCUACAUCUGCUAAAGCCGUGUGGCAUGAGAUUUUCGCUUGAGUUUAAUUUCACGGAUUUUGGACUUUUCAGGUUUCGCGGGAAAAAUUUUUCGCGACUUUGGAUUUCAGGCUUUACUCCUGGGAAUAAUUUCAUGUACAGUACUUGAAAGUAGCAAAAACGGAGGCCAUAUGGUCGUUUUCGUUUUCCAGAAUCACGUGUUGGUUGAACACCGUUAGAACGUCACGUUAAAUGUGCGAGUUGUCAAAAAGUGUUGCUUAUUAUUGUUGUAAUUUAUUAUCUUGUGAGCAAUAGCGGGCAAAAAAUUUGUUUUUAUCUUUAAAUUUUCGCAAAAGUUUAGUAAUUACCCUCAUAUCCAUUUGUUUUGAAGUUGAAGGAUGUCACUCAUUUGAAAUACAGUUACACUUUACAGUUACCUGCAAUUAUUCGUUUUUUGCAGGCGGGGGCAAAAUUCGUGCCGGAUCUACUCGGAUCGCUGGUUUAAAUAAGAAUGGCAACCAUUCAAGAACAAGGCAUAUGCAAUACAUGCCAUUUUAUGUAAAUUAGCCAUCCGAGUUGAUCGGGUCCGAGGUUUGUACCUGCCCGUUUUUUACCGUCACCUCCUUGUGGUACUUUGAAAGAGCAUGCAAACGACUCCAUUUCUAAAUGUUCAUCUUCUCUAAGUUAUUCUGUGACCAAGAAACCUGCGAAGUUAACGAUGUUACCAUCGAAUUCGUCCAUAUCGACUUGGCAGAUGGCCUUUGGUGCGAAACUUAAACAAGAGAGCGCCGUGUAGUUAGUGCAUUGACAUGGGUGUUGUAUUGAAACGAUGGCCGCCAACGCGUGGACAUUUGACGUCGAAAAAGACAGGCAGAUCACCCAACAUCUGACUUUGUCCCUUCAAGCAAACGUACUUCAAGCAUCAGUGGGAUGGGUAAAGUGACGAUCAUCGCAUUGCGAUGAAUCAGAGAAAGACGACUGUUAAGAUAAUGCCGUUCUUUAAGAGGCAGAACUGGUCAGCUGAUAUCAUAAUGCUGGAGAGAGUUUCUCGUGGUUGACAUGGAGAUGAAGACGCAAUGAAAUAAAACCUGUUCCUCAAACAAGAGGAAAAAGGCAAGCAUAGAAUGGGAAAAGCUAGAAAUACACAAAGGAUAUUGGAGUUUGGAAAGAAGGGCAAUUUGAUGACGAGACUAUGACUAAUUGACAAGAUUCCAAGACAAAAUUCAGUUAGUUUUGUGGAGUCAUCAUGCAAGGAAAAGUGGAUUAUAAUAAAAUGACUUUCGACAGAAAAUUGACUGGGAUGUAUGCUGUGCUGAGGGAAAAGUCGGAAAACUGUCUUGGAUUGAUUAAGAAUGUGCGCAUUGAAAGCCAACGAGGAACAAGUCGAAAAUAAUGACCAAGUCUCUUGGCGAGAAAAUUAUUCUAGGUUAAAGAUAUUGUGCUUUUAAAAGGGACCAAAAAAA
This 1927-nucleotide long non-coding RNA is filed under the name Orbicella faveolata. RNAcentral's name for it is "uncharacterized LOC110045758, transcript variant X1". The record is from RNAcentral. Lineage: Eukaryota; Metazoa; Cnidaria; Anthozoa; Scleractinia; Merulinidae.